UUGUAAGGACGAUAUGACACCCUUUUACGCAAUUAAGAACGUGUAUAAUUUGAUGUUAUCCAGAAAACGCUGUUAAUUCAAGCAAAAACUCGACGUGGGCACGCCGCAGAGGUAUAACAUGAAUUUGAUGCUCUUUGUGUUUUCGUGUUUUCUGACUUUAAAGUCUAUCCAAGGACAUUAUUGGACCGCUUGGUAUGA
Molecule: long non-coding RNA, 198 nt
Organism: Lingula anatina
Lineage: Eukaryota; Metazoa; Brachiopoda; Lingulata; Lingulida; Lingulidae
Source: RefSeq, a predicted model, not a curated record